Cicer arietinum (chickpea) is the source of this 1353-nucleotide non-coding RNA. NCBI's taxonomy places the organism in Eukaryota, Viridiplantae, Streptophyta, Magnoliopsida, Fabales, Fabaceae. The record is from RefSeq and is a predicted model, not a curated record.
AACUUAGGCAUUCUCAUAUUACAAGUAAUAAAUCAUAAUAUGCCUAAAUGUUAAUAUUCCUUUUGAAGGGAUCAAUUAGAAAGUGUUUUCAUGAAAUAAGUCUUGUGCUGUAAUCUCAGUGGAUAAAUUGAUUAGCUGUGGUUGCAGAAGGAAUUAAAUGUAUUAGAUGCACCAGAAAUCAGAAAUGAUUUCUACACAAACACAAUGGAGUGGGGGGAAAAACAUUCUAGCUGUUGCUUUAGUCAAAAAAAUGUACUUGUGGAACUCUUUUACUGCUCAUGUGUCUCAGUUGUUUAAAUUCAAUGACAAUAAUUAUCCAACUAGUGUUUCUUGGUAAGAGGAUUUAAAGUAUUUCACAAUUAGAUUUAUGUACUCUAAUCUUCGUCUCUACGAUGUUGUCACUUCCAAGCUGGUAAGUAUGCAUGCAUCUCUCUCUAUUCAUCUGCUUGGUUUCACAAUGGACUUAUUAUUGCUUGAUUUUUGAUUUUCAAAUAAAAAAGCUAGAAGGUCAUAGUGAAAGGAUAACAGCUCUAGCAGGGAAUGAAACUAUUUUAACUUCCGGAAGCCAUGACGAAUCUAUAAUCAACCAUGAUGUUAGAGCAGGAAGUAACAUGACUUCCUAGGUAAAAGGGCACAUAGAAGCAAUUUGCAAUUUAAAAUGAUCGAAAAGGGGAAAUAUGUUGGCAAGUGGUGGUAGUGAAAAUCUAGUCCAUGUGUGGGAGUCAAAUAAAAUGAACUCAUCAAAAUUCUUGCAUUGUUUUAAAGACCACAUUGCUUCUGUCAAAGCACUUGUUUGGUGCCCUUGUGAUUCAUCUAUGCUUGCUUCUGGAGGCGGUUUCGACAAUGGAUUUAUUAAGCUAUGGAAUGUACAAAAGGGAACUAACAUUUGCAGCAUAGAUACCAAAGAUAAGAUUUCUGGAUUAGAAUGAAAUAUACAUCACAAAGAGAUAUUAAGUGGCCAUGGCUUCAUUUCAAGUGCAGAACACAACCAACUUUGUUUGUGGGAAUAUCCAUCUAUGACUAAAGUUGGAACCUUGGGCACUCAUACUUCGAGAGUUCUCCAUUUAUCUCAGAGUUGAGAUGAGUUAACAGUUGUUUCAGCUGGAGCAGAUGAGUCUUUUUGCUUUUGGAAUAUUUUUGGGCCACCUGCCACUAAAACAAAAGAUAAUUCAGGUUUGGAUAGUCUUUUAUCUAUGAAGACAAUGCUGAUAACAUGAUAGAAACAUACCAACAUUGUUGUCUUAUAGUAGCAUUUUUUUGUAUAAAUUAGUAGUCUUCAAACUCUUUACUAUGACAGUGAUUUUUAAAAUUGAAUGUACAUUUUUUUAUAUUGAAAAAUAGCUUUUGUAUUUU